CGUGGUCGGCUGCCUGCUUCGUGUAAAGCUCCUUCGACGAGUCGAGUUGUUUGGGAAUGCAGCUCAAAAUGGGUGGUAAAUUUCAUCUAAAGCUAAAUAUUGGCCAGAGACCGAUAGCGCACAAGUAGAGUGAUCGAAAGAUGAAAAGCACUUUGGAAAGAGAGUUAAACAGCACGUGAAAUUGUUGAAAGGGAAGCGCUUGCAAUCAGACUUGCGCGUAGGUAAUCAAGGGCGGUUCGCUGCCCUGCACUUGCCUGCGCUCAGGCCAGCAUCAGUUUUGGGGGUGGGAUAAAGGCCGUGGGAAUGUGGCUCUUCGGAGUGUUAUAGCCCUCGGUGCCAUGCCGCCUCCCGAGACUGAGGACCGCGGAUGCUG
This 373-nucleotide ribosomal RNA is filed under the name Pilidium concavum. Its description in RNAcentral is "partial large subunit ribosomal RNA". It matches the Rfam family "Eukaryotic large subunit ribosomal RNA", at positions 222 to 628 of the family's 3401-position model. The record is from RNAcentral. Lineage: Eukaryota; Fungi; Ascomycota; Leotiomycetes; Chaetomellales; Chaetomellaceae.